CGCCAGACUCCUACGGGAGGCAGCAGUGAGGAAUAUUGGUCAAUGGCCGGGAGGCUGAACCAGCCAAGUCGCGUGAGGGAAGACGGCCCUACGGGUUGUAAACCUCUUUUGUCAGGGAGCAAGGUGCAGGUCGGGACCUGCUGUGAGAGUACCUGAAGAAAAAGCAUCGGCUAACUCCGUGCCAGCAGCCGCGGUAAUACGGAGGAUGCGAGCGUUAUCCGGAUUUAUUGGGUUUAAAGGGUGCGCAGGCGGAGGUGCAAGUCAGGGGUCAAAUUGCGGGGCUCAACCCCGUCGAGCCGUUGAAACUGGCAGACUUGAGUUGGCGAGAAGUACGCGGAAUGCGCGGUGUAGCGGUGAAAUGCAUAGAUAUCGCGCAGAACUCCGAUUGCGAAGGCAGCGUACCGGCGCCAGACUGACGCUGAGGCACGAAAGCGUGGGGAUCGAACAGGAUUAGAUACCCCGGUAC
RNAcentral lists this ribosomal RNA (466 nucleotides) under uncultured bacterium. Its description in RNAcentral is "bacterial SSU rRNA". It matches the Rfam family "Bacterial small subunit ribosomal RNA", at positions 329 to 793 of the family's 1533-position model. The record is from RNAcentral.